UAGUGAUGAUAACAACGAGGACUUCAAUUGUCUCUGCUCUUCAGGGUUCCACGGGCAAUCAUGUGAAACCAACACAGAUGAUUGUCUGGUACCAGAUGGACACAUUGGACGAUGUUCAUCAAAUGGAAUCUGCAUAGAUCUAGUCAAUAAUUGGCGCUGCGAAUGUUUUAAUGGAUGGGCCGGAAGAAGCUGUCAAGUCAACAUUUGGUGUUCUGGACCUUUACGCGACCCGUGCAGACCCCAUGGAUACUGUAGCCAAACCACGGAUUCGUACACUUGCAGCUGUUUUAACGGUUAUACGGGAUAUAAUUGCACAACUAAUAUAGACGAUUGUCUUGGUCACGAAUGCGAGAACGGUGCCACUUGUGUGGACGGAAUUGGCUCUUACACCUGUCAGUGCGUCACAGGCUACACAGGUGCCACGUGCCAGACGUUGAUUGACAACUGUGCCUCCAACCCCUGCAGUGAACACGGCACGUGUGAGAAUGGUAUCGGGACAUACACAUGUAACUGUGCAGAGGGGUUCACGGGGAACACAUGUG
Molecule: long non-coding RNA, 542 nt
Organism: Lingula anatina
Lineage: Eukaryota; Metazoa; Brachiopoda; Lingulata; Lingulida; Lingulidae
Source: RefSeq, a predicted model, not a curated record